RNAcentral lists this ribosomal RNA (255 nucleotides) under uncultured bacterium. RNAcentral describes it as "partial 16S ribosomal RNA". It matches the Rfam family "Bacterial small subunit ribosomal RNA", at positions 100 to 354 of the family's 1533-position model. The record is from RNAcentral.
CGACGGGUGAGUAACGCGUGGAAAACCUGCCGUAUACUGGGGGAUAACACUUAGAAAUAGGUGCUAAUACCGCAUAAGCGCACAGCUUCGCAUGAAGUGGUGUGAAAAACUCCGGUGGUAUACGAUGGUUCCGCGUCUGAUUAGCUUGUUGGUGGGGUAAUGGGCUCACCAAGGCGACGAUCAGUAGCCGGCCUGAGAGGGUGAACGGCCACAUUGGGACUGAGACACGGCCCAAACUCCUACGGAAGGCAGCAG